UACGUAGGGCGCAAGCGUUAUCCGGAAUUAUUGGGCGUAAAGAGCUCGUAGGCGGUUUGUUGCGUCGGCUGUGAAAUCCCGAGGCUCAACCUCGGGUCUGCAGUCGAUACGAGCAAACUAGAGUGUUGCAGGGGAGACUGGAAUUCCUGGUGUGGCGGUGAAAUGCGCAGAUAUCAGGAGGAACACCGGUGGCGAAGGCGGCAUCCGUGGGACCGGCAUUGACGCUGAGGCGCGAAAGCCAGGGGAGCAACGGG
Molecule: ribosomal RNA, 254 nt
Filed under: uncultured bacterium
Lineage: Bacteria
Description: partial 16S ribosomal RNA
Rfam family: Bacterial small subunit ribosomal RNA
Source: RNAcentral